Molecule: ribosomal RNA, 497 nt
Filed under: uncultured bacterium
Lineage: Bacteria
Description: partial 16S ribosomal RNA
Rfam family: Bacterial small subunit ribosomal RNA
Source: RNAcentral
GAUGAACGCUGGCGGCGUGCCUAAUACAUGCAAGUCGAGCGAACGGACGAGAAGCUUGCUUCUCUGAUGUUAGCGGCGGACGGGUGAGUAACACGUGGAUAACCUACCUAUAAGACUGGGAUAACUUCGGGAAACCGGAGCUAAUACCGGAUAAUAUUUUGAACCGCAUGGUUCAAAAGUGAAAGACGGUCUUGCUGUCACUUAUAGAUGGAUCCGCGCUGCAUUAGCUAGUUGGUAAGGUAACGGCUUACCAAGGCAACGAUGCAUAGCCGACCUGAGAAGGUGAUCGGCCACACUGGAACUGAGACACGGUCCAGACUCCUACGGGAGGCAGCAGUAGGGAAUCUUCCGCAAUGGGCGAAAGCCUGACGGAGCAACGCCGCGUGAGUGAUGAAGGUUUUCGGAUCGUAAAACUCUGUUAUUAGGGAAGAACAUAUGUGUAAGUAACUGUGCACAUCUUGACGGUACCUAAUCAGAAAGCCACGGCUAACUACGUG